RNAcentral lists this ribosomal RNA (369 nucleotides) under uncultured bacterium. Its description in RNAcentral is "partial 16S ribosomal RNA". It matches the Rfam family "Bacterial small subunit ribosomal RNA", at positions 355 to 723 of the family's 1533-position model. The record is from RNAcentral.
UGAGGAAUAUUGGUCAAUGGGUGCAAGCCUGAACCAGCCAUCCGCGUGAAGGACGACUGCCCUAUGGGUUGUAAACUUCUUUUGUAUAGGGAUAAACCUACCCUCGUGAGGGUAGCUGAAGGUACUAUACGAAUAAGCACCGGCUAACUCCGUGCCAGCAGCCGCGGUAAUACGGAGGGUGCAAGCGUUAUCCGGAUUUAUUGGGUUUAAAGGGUCCGUAGGCGGACUUAUAAGUCAGUGGUGAAAGCCUGUCGCUUAACGAUAGAACUGCCAUUGAUACUGUAAGUCUUGAGUAUAUUUGAGGUAGCUGGAAUAAGUAGUGUAGCGGUGAAAUGCAUAGAUAUUACUUAGACACCAAUUGCGAAGGCA